UACGUGGGAGGCGAGCGUUGUCCGGAGUUACUGGGCGUAAAGGGUGCGCGGGCGGCCCGGCAAGUGUGCGGUGAAAUCCCCCGGCUCAACCGGGGGGGGCCCGCGCGGACUGCCGGGCUUGAGGCUCGGAGGGGGGCGCGGAAUUCCGGGUGGAGCGGUGAAAUGCGUAGAGAUCCGGAAGAACACCGACGGCGAAGGCAGCGCCCUGGCCGAGCCCUGACGCUCAGGCACGAGAGCGCGGGGAG
This 245-nucleotide ribosomal RNA is filed under the name uncultured bacterium. RNAcentral's name for it is "partial 16S ribosomal RNA". It matches the Rfam family "Bacterial small subunit ribosomal RNA", at positions 524 to 768 of the family's 1533-position model. The record is from RNAcentral.